CGCAGUCAGUACUUCAACGAAUAUAUCGACGAAGCCACGUAUUCGGUCGGUCCGUCGGCGUCACUGGCCUCGUUCGUAAUGCUAAAUACGUCAUUUAAAGAUUUAUAUAAUACAACAGCUGAUUGCAAAGACCGGACAAAUUAUCUCUACGUUUGAUUGUUUACGUUUUCAAAGACAGGAUAACCCAAAUAUCGCUGGCGUGUUGAUAGGCCUCUCUCUUAUUGCAUUACCUGUACGAAUAUUUUUUUACUCCUACUGCCUGCGAUUUCCUCAGUUACGGUCUUACAGCGAACACGGAAGUUUGUAGUACUCUAAUAGUGUCUACCUGUGAAAUAUAAAUCAUUUUCGCAUUCUUAAUAGCUCCAUUUGACUCUAAACAUCAAGGUAGGGAACUCGGAAAGUGACACAUGCUAGCCCGGAAAGAAAGUGGAUAAUCAGUGUUUGAAGGAAGAAAGAGUACCGCUCGGAGUACCGUCUUGAACCCUAACUUUGGAGAAGAAAGGCAUUUUUAACGUGCUUACCUGUACCUGAAAUGUAUUUCAUUCCUUUUUGACGGUUUCGGUAUGAUACCCAGGCAUUUAUAAAAAAAAACAAGUUUAAACCUCACAUCAGUCGACAAUACUAAACUGGAGUGGUGGUCGCAUGCGCAAAUGUUUAAUUAUAACCAGGAAGUCGAAAUUAGGCGAGAUUAGAAUGAAUGUUUCCACUCGAAUCAAAUAUGGAAGGGUUCCAGCAUCUGAUAAUGAAUACAGUUCAUCCACUCUUCGUCUGGUACAGUGAUAGUAGGUUUACCCCUAUGCGUGCCAAUGAGAAAGCAAUCCAAGCAGAAUACAAAUAACUUUUAUAAUUGA
Photinus pyralis (common eastern firefly) is the source of this 851-nucleotide long non-coding RNA. RefSeq lists it as uncharacterized. Lineage: Eukaryota; Metazoa; Arthropoda; Insecta; Coleoptera; Lampyridae. The transcript is spliced from 3 exons. The record is from RefSeq and is a predicted model, not a curated record.